AGAGUUUGAUCCUGGCUCAGAUUGAACGCUGGCGGCAUGCCUUACACAUGCAAGUCGAACGGUAACGCGGGGGCAACCCUGGCGACGAGUGGCGAACGGGUGAGUAAUACAUCGGAACAUAUCCAGUAGCGGGGGAUAACCUAUCGAAAGAUGGACUAAUACCGCAUACGAUCUACGGAUGAAAGCAGGGGACCGCAAGGCCUUGCACUAUUGGAGUGGCCGAUGUCGGAUUAGCUAGUUGGUGGGGUAAAAGCCUACCAAGGCGACGAUCCGUAGCUGGUCUGAGAGGACGAUCAGCCACACUGGAACUGAGACACGGUCCAGACUCCUACGGGAGGCAGCAGUGGGGAAUUUUGGACAAUGGGCGCAAGCCUGAUCCAGCCAUGCCGCGUGAGUGAAGAAGGCCUUCGGGUUGUAAAGCUCUUUCGGUGAAGACGAAACGGUUCAUGCUAAUAACGUGAACUAAUGACGGUACUCACAGAAGAAGCACCGGCUAACUACGUGCCAGCAGCCGCGGUAAUACGUAGGGUGCAGGCGUUAAUCGGAAUUACUGGGCGUAAAGCGUGCGCAGGCGGUUUGCUAAGACAGGUGUGAAAUCCCCGGGCUUAACCUGGGAAUUGCGCUUGUAACUGGCAAGCUAGAGUGUGGCAGAGGGGGGUGGAAUUCCACGUGUAGCAGUGAAAUGCGUAGAUAUGUGGAGGAACACCGAUGGCGAAGGCAGCCCCCUGGGUUAACACUGACGCUCAUGCACGAAAGCGUGGGGAGCAAACAGGAUUAGAUACCCUGGUAAUCCACGCCCUAAACUAUGUCAACUAGUUGUCGGGGAAGAAAUUCCUUGGUAACGAAGCUAACGCGUGAAGUUGACCGCCUGGGGAGUACGGCCGCAAGGUUAAAACUCAAAGGAAUUGACGGGGACCCGCACAAGCGGUGGAUUAUGUGGAUUAAUUCGAUGCAACGCGAAAAACCUUACCUACCCUUGACAUGCUAGGAAGCCCGCAGAGAUGUGGGUGUGCCCGAAAGGGAACCUAGACACAGGUGCUGCAUGGCUGUCGUCAGCUCGUGUCGUGAGAUGUUGGGUUAAGUCCCGCAACGAGCGCAACCCUUGCCAUUAGUUGCUACAUUCAGUUGGGCACUCUAAUGGGACCGCCGGUGACAAACCGGAGGAAGGUGGGGAUGACGUCAAGUCCUCAUGGCCCUUAUGGGUAGGGCUUCACACGUAAUACAAUGGUCGGUACAGAGGGCUGCCAACCCGCAAGGGGGAGCUAAUCCCAGAAAGCCGAUCGUAGUCCGGAUUGUAGUCUGCAACUCGACUGCAUGAAGCCGGAAUCGCUAGUAAUCGCGGAUCAGCAUGUCGCGGUGAAUACGUUCCCGGGUCUUGUACACACCGCCCGUCACACCAUGGAGUGGGUUCCACCAGAAGUAGUUAGCCUAACCGCAAGGAGGGCGAUUACCACGGUGAGAUUCAUGACUGGGGUGAAGUCGUAACAAGGUA
Molecule: ribosomal RNA, 1492 nt
Filed under: metagenome
Description: bacterial SSU rRNA
Rfam family: Bacterial small subunit ribosomal RNA
Source: RNAcentral